CAGAGGAGGACAGUGAAGCCUUCCUAUGGGUGCACAUGUCAUCCACUAGCCACACCUCAGUGCUCUUUUGUUGCAUGAAAAAUUUGGUAACCUCAGGAAUACUUUUUAAAGUAUUAAUCAUUCCAAAACAGGAACAUUGUGCUGGGAGGAGAGAAAGCCUAAAGCCUAGGCCAGCCAAGAAAGAGACUGAACACUUGACAGGCCACCUUACAGAUGGGCGAUGGCAGGGCACAUUGGGGUCAGGCGGUCAGGCCCCUUCAGCCCGGCAGAUGGCGGUGCCAUGCUGUAGAGCUUGCAGGCCACUCCAGGUUCCUUUGCGACCACUGAGCCACUGAGCCACUGAGCAGAGAAAACACAAAUUUAUGUCAAUGACAAUUUCUGUAGAAGUGAAGGCCUCUCCAUCUUGGGCAUUAUG
Non-coding RNA from Myodes glareolus (Bank vole), 415 nucleotides. Lineage: Eukaryota; Metazoa; Chordata; Mammalia; Rodentia; Cricetidae. The record is from RefSeq and is a predicted model, not a curated record.